UCAUUUGCUUGAAAAAAGCAACUUGUUCCAUUAUGAUAAGGAGUUAGAGUUGAUGAAUAAAGAAGUAUCAGAUGAAGAUUUAGCAGAUUUACCUGAAGGUCCCCGUGCACCAAAAAUAAGGAAAAUUGCAUUAAGUCAUAAUUUGGACACCGAGGGACAAUCAAAAGAUUCGACUCUCAAAAAGACUGAGGUCAAAACGGUUAAUAAUAAAACGGAUCCCAUUUUAUCCGUUGAAACCAACACGGAAAUAUAAGGUGUAGCUUUUUCAAAAACGUCUAAGCAAGUAACACCACCAAGUAAUCAAGCAGGACAAUAUGUUACAAAAUAACUGCUUAAAGAAGCUUCAGUUGUUUAAAACGAAAACAUUCAGAAAACGCUGCAAGAACUAUUUAACAGGCCCUCUACAAGUUCAGCUAACAACGAAAGAUAAAGUACCAAGUCCACAGCCAAAUCACCAUCAGUAAAUACACCAUCAGGAG
This is a long non-coding RNA of Cotesia glomerata, 479 nucleotides long. RefSeq lists it as uncharacterized. The record is from RefSeq and is a predicted model, not a curated record. The transcript is spliced from 3 exons. Lineage: Eukaryota; Metazoa; Arthropoda; Insecta; Hymenoptera; Braconidae.